GUGGUAUGGAAUGUAUGAUCUUUAUUAAUUUUUAAUCCAUCAAUCUAAAAUCACACAUACUAGAUCAAACAGAAGUACCACAGUAUGCUUUAUUUUGCAGGUAUUAAUUGGUUCUCUAAAUCGAUACAUCCAAAACUUUAGUUAGCAGCAAGCAUCAGUUCUUCCAAAGCAGCUUAGGUGAAAAACAAUUGUUUACAUUCACCAGUUCAAAGUCGUACUGUCUGAUCCACUGUUGUAUUGACAUAAAAUUGAACUCAGUAGGCAAAGCUAAUUGAACACUCAGCUCAUAGAUUUUGAGCUUCCUUUAUCUUAUUGGAGUUGAAGCAGUUUUUAACCCUCUGUUAAUAUUCUCUAUUUUAAUUCUCAAAGAAUUAAACACACAUAUUUUCUAAUUAAUUAAGAUAGAGCCAUGAUAACUAUUGAGGAAUUAGUGAUAUUAGUCUCAUACCCAAAAGGUAGAACACUUUUAAAUGAACCCAUAAUUUUGAAUGUAUCUGAAUUUCCAGUUUAUAUGCUUAGCAAGGUCACAAGCUGAUUUUAUUAAUCUGGCUUCUAGAUAAUCAUCUCAAAAAUAUGUAUUGAAACAAAGCCACUGUUUUUUAUGAUGACAUCAUUUUAACCAAAUGCUUUUAUAACAAAUAAGCAGUUGUUCUCAAAAGAGAACAUUUUAAAAGAAAACAUUCUUUACAAACAAAGUAUAUAGAGUUUUUGUUUUCAGUGCAGGAUAAAUGAACCUUCUUAACAAGUUAAGGCUCUGAGGGAAAAAAACUUUCUAAACCAUAACCUUAAUAAACCAUAACCCAUACAGGUGUUCCAAAUCAACACCUUUUUUAAAAAAAGCUGGAGGUCUUACUUCAUCCUUCAGUAUAAAUGUCAAGUCUGAGAUAAUCAGUAUAUUCCAAACUCUAGAACAACAACAACAAAAAAAGAAAUCUCCUUGUUAAAAUAUAGUAGCUA
Molecule: long non-coding RNA, 957 nt
Filed under: Homo sapiens (human)
Lineage: Eukaryota; Metazoa; Chordata; Mammalia; Primates; Hominidae
Description: HSALNT0285878
Source: RNAcentral